UAGGUGACUCAAGGACAUCUGUGCCACCAGAU
Molecule: non-coding RNA, 32 nt
Filed under: Rattus norvegicus (Norway rat)
Lineage: Eukaryota; Metazoa; Chordata; Mammalia; Rodentia; Muridae
Source: RNAcentral